AUGGCGUCCAAGGCCUGCAUCCUGAUCCUGCUCCUCGUUGCAGCUCUUCUCCAUACAGGUCAUGCUAGUGGCGACGCCGGGCCGUGCCAACUGGAGGACAUCCGCGUCUCGUCGGUGUUGACGGGGCGGCGGGUCCUGAAUGUGCCGGAGUACAGCGUGACGGUGGAGAACACGUGCUCGUGCGCGCAGGCGGGCGUGGUGAUGUACUGCAACCUCGGCGAGGUGAAAGCGGUGAUCUCGGACACGACCAAGCUCCGCCUGCUGAGCCGGAAGCAAGGGCACUGCCUCAUCAACAGCGGCUGGCCGAUCUUCAACGGCAAGCCCAUAAUGUUCACCUACGCCGCCAAGACGCAGCUCGACUUCACCCUCGAUAACGCCUCGCCGGAGUGCCUGGUGUGA
Molecule: ribosomal RNA, 399 nt
Filed under: Triticum aestivum (bread wheat)
Lineage: Eukaryota; Viridiplantae; Streptophyta; Magnoliopsida; Poales; Poaceae
Description: partial small subunit ribosomal RNA
Source: RNAcentral